RNAcentral lists this ribosomal RNA (236 nucleotides) under uncultured Staphylococcus sp. RNAcentral describes it as "partial 16S ribosomal RNA". It matches the Rfam family "Bacterial small subunit ribosomal RNA", at positions 104 to 334 of the family's 1533-position model. The record is from RNAcentral. Lineage: Bacteria; Bacillati; Bacillota; Bacilli; Caryophanales; Staphylococcaceae.
GGGUGAGUAACACGUGAUAACCUACCUAUAAGACUGGGAUAACUUCGGGAAACCGGAGCUAAUACCGGAUAAUAUAUUGAACCGCAUGGUUCAAAUAGUGAAAGACGGUUUUGCUGUCACUUAUAGAUGGAUCCGCGCCGCAUUAGCUAGUUGGUAAGGUAACGGCUUACCAAGGCAACGAUGCGUAGCCGACCUGAGAGGGUGAUCGGCCACACUGGAACUGAGACACGGUCCAG